This 497-nucleotide ribosomal RNA is filed under the name uncultured bacterium. Its description in RNAcentral is "partial 16S ribosomal RNA". It matches the Rfam family "Bacterial small subunit ribosomal RNA", at positions 28 to 507 of the family's 1533-position model. The record is from RNAcentral.
GAUGAACGCUGGCGGCGUGCCUAAUACAUGCAAGUCGAGCGAACAGAUGAGGAGCUUGCUCCUCUGACGUUAGCGGCGGACGGGUGAGUAACACGUGGAUAACCUACCUAUAAGACUGGGAUAACUUCGGGAAACCGGAGCUAAUACCGGAUAAUAUAUUGAACCGCAUGGUUCAAUAGUGAAAGACGGUUUUGCUGUCACUUAUAGAUGGAUCCGCGCCGCAUUAGCUAGUUGGUAAGGUAACGGCUUACCAAGGCAACGAUGCGUAGCCGACCUGAGAGGGAGAUCGGCCACACUGGAAGUGAGACACGGUCCAGACUCCUAAGGGAGGCAGCAGUAGGGAAUCUUACGCAAUGGGCGAAAGCCUGACGGAGCAACGCCGCGUGAGUGAUGAAGGUCUUCGGAUCGUAAAACUCUGUUAUUAGGGAAGAACAAAUGUGUAAGUAACUAUGCACGUCUUGACGGUACCUAAUCAGAAAGCCACGGCUAACUACGUG